Molecule: non-coding RNA, 493 nt
Organism: Leptonychotes weddellii (Weddell seal)
Lineage: Eukaryota; Metazoa; Chordata; Mammalia; Carnivora; Phocidae
Source: RefSeq, a predicted model, not a curated record
UACCAGAAGAAACGGGAGUAUGCCCAUCUGGUCUGGAGGAGACAGAGGCUGGCAGCUUCAGGAACCUGACCUGGUUGUACUUCCCACACAGCUCCAUCCAGACUAGACAUUCUCAAGAUGUGAAGCUUCUCCUCCAAGAAGAUCCAAAUAAAGAGGUUGGAAUGGCUGUGAAAAGCUUCUGUUGUGGUUGGUGGAAAAAAAAAAAAAAAAAAGAAAGGAAAUCUAGAAAUUUCGAGGAAAUUCAGUGCCUAAGUUCUUUAAGCAUAGGGAGAAGCUUGGUUUCUGUCAUCAGAGUACAGUGAAAAUCCAAGUGACCAAGAGAAUUGCUGAGACUCUCAGCCAUUUGAACAUGUGUAAACCUUCAGUUUACCAAAAAGGAAUCCAGUCGUGCAUCUGAAGACCUCACUUUUUACAUUGUCAAAAUGUCAGAAUGAUUUCAGAUGAAAGAUUUCUCUUUUCCUCCUGGUGUAUAUAAAACAAAAAUUAAAGACUU